CAGAUGCUGAGCCUGUAUCCAGCAACUCAGGUCCAAACAGUCAUUUACAACCAGAUACCAGUGGCAGGAGUUCAGACAGUUCUGGAACUGAGACCGAUGACAGCGAGGACUGGAAAGAGACCACAAAACUUCAGUCACGUUUUAACUGUCGAAAAAAUACCAAUAUUGUUCAUUCAGGCAACACUGAUGAAAAACAAUUUAAAGGCUCUAAAUAUGGAAAAGCAUCUGGUCACAUGAACGACUCAGCGCAGCAAAAG
Molecule: long non-coding RNA, 257 nt
Organism: Thalassophryne amazonica
Lineage: Eukaryota; Metazoa; Chordata; Actinopteri; Batrachoidiformes; Batrachoididae
Exons: 3
Source: RefSeq, a predicted model, not a curated record